This 1318-nucleotide ribosomal RNA is filed under the name human gut metagenome. Its description in RNAcentral is "bacterial LSU rRNA". It matches the Rfam family "Bacterial large subunit ribosomal RNA", at positions 1103 to 2495 of the family's 2925-position model. The record is from RNAcentral.
GGCUUAGAAGCAGCCACUCAUUAAAAGAGUGCGUAAUAGCUCACUGGUCGAGUGACUCUGCGCGGAAAAUGUAACGGGGCUAAGCAUCUAACCGAAGCUUAGGAUUGUCGUAAGACAGUGGUAGGGGAGCGUUCCAUGUGGGGUGAAGUCGUAGCGGAAGCAGCGGUGGACUGCAUGGAAGUGAGAAUGCCGGAAUGAGUAGCGAGAAUUAUGUGGGAAUCAUAAUGGCCGAAAAUCUAAGGUUUCUUGGGGAAGGUUCGUCCGCCCAAGGUAAGCCGGGAGCUAAGGCGAGGCCGAAAGGCGUAGUCGAUGCACAUACGGUAGAAAUUCCGUAGCCACCGAACUUUAAGUCAGAGGGACACUUUUGGAUAGCGGAACCCGGGCGUUGGUUGACCCGGGCGAAAGGGAGCGAAAAUAUAGUAGCGAAGUCCGCGAUGCUGAGAGGCGAGAAAAGCUCUGAUGGAUACUAAGGUGCCCGUACCGCAAACCGACACAGGUAGAUGAGGAGAGAAUCCUAAGGCCAACGGGAGAAGGGUUGUUAAGGAACUCGGCAAAAUGACCCCGUAACUUCGGGAUAAGGGGAGCCCCCGUGAGGGGGCCGCAGAGAAUAGGCCCAAGCGACUGUUUACCAAAAACACAGGUCUAUGCUAAAUCGAAAGAUGACGUAUAUGGGCUGACGCCUGCCCGGUGCUGGAAGGUUAAGAGGAGGGCUUAGCGCAAGCGAAGGUCUGAAUUGAAGCCCCAGUAAACGGCGGCCGUAACUAUAACGGUCCUAAGGUAGCGAAAUUCCUUGUCAGGUAAGUUCUGACCCGCACGAAAGGCGUAACGAUUUGGGCGCUGUCUCAGCUGUAGACUCGGUGAAGUCUUAGUACCUGUGAAGAUGCAGGUUACCCGCGACUAGACGGAAAGACCCCAUGGAGCUUCACUGCAGGUUGAUAUUGGGAUUUGAUGCAGCAUGUACAGGAUAGGUAGGAGGCAAAGAGAUGGAUACGCCAGUAUUCAAGGAGCCGCUGUUGGGAUACUACCCCUGUUGUAUUGGAUUUCUAACCGGACGACGUAGAGCCGUUGACGGGACAGUGUCAGUCGGGCAGUUUGACUGGGGCGGUCGCCUCCCAAAGAGUAACGGAGGCGCCCAAAGAUACCCUCAGCUUGGAUGGAAACCAAGCGCAGAGUGCAAAGGCAAAAGGGUGUUUGACUGCGAGACCAACAAGUCGAGCAGGGACGAAAGUCGGGCUUAGUGAUCCGGCGGUGCUGAAUGGAAAGGCCGUCGCUCAACGGAUAAAAGCUACCCUGGGGAUAACAGGCUGAUCUCCCCCAA